CUUUUUCUUAAUUGAUAUAUUUUGAAAACUUUACAAGAUCAUUUGCAAUAGGGACAAUUGUUUAUAUUCGUCUGAAAAGUUCCUUAUUUUAUGAUUUAUUCUUCUUAGAAGGUUAAUAUUGAAAAUACCUUUUUUAUGUUCUAACAUGUUUCAAAUAUAUAUGUAGAGUUAAAUUUUGUUAAUAAACUGUUAACAAUAGUUGUUAUCUUUAUAAAAUUACUAUUUUGCCUUCUUAAAUAUAUUCUUCUAUUAUCACCGACUUUUCUUAUUUGCCUUUAAGUUUAGGGACACAAAAUGUAUUUGAUUGUUGGUCUUUUCAAAUAUACCCUUCUUUCAUUACCAACAUUUCUUAUUUACUCUUAAGUUAAGGACAAAAGAGACAUUUUAAAUUUUUUUAACUUUAGUAAAUAUUUAACUCAUGUUUAAUCUAAGUUAACUUAACGAAUAGUAAAUGUAGGGGUAUUUAGAAAAAAAUGAAGGAACAUAUGAAGAGUGUAUUGAAAAGAAAAAAAAGUAGGGGUAAAGAAGAUAGUACUAAAAUUUUGAGGAGUAUACAGAAAAUUAUCCUUUUGUAAUG
This 577-nucleotide long non-coding RNA is filed under the name Ananas comosus (pineapple). RNAcentral's name for it is "long non-coding RNA (ACOM_LNC040631)". Lineage: Eukaryota; Viridiplantae; Streptophyta; Magnoliopsida; Poales; Bromeliaceae. The record is from RNAcentral.